Scatophagus argus is the source of this 694-nucleotide long non-coding RNA. RefSeq lists it as uncharacterized. NCBI's taxonomy places the organism in Eukaryota, Metazoa, Chordata, Actinopteri, Scatophagidae. The record is from RefSeq and is a predicted model, not a curated record. The transcript is spliced from 3 exons.
GGUACAGGGAGAACAUGCAAACUGAAGAAGAAGAAGAAGAAGAAGAAGAGGAAGGACAGAAGGGUCCAGACUGGGAUUCAAACCUGGAACCCUCUGGCUAUGAGGCAACAGUGCAAACCAUUGCAUCACCAUGCCACACCCAUCCACGUGAUUACUGCAAGCCAAGGUUUCCCCGCAGAACAUUGCAUCGUAAAGAUAGGAUUAACGUUAUUCACAUCACCUUUCAGUGAUUUUAAUGUUGUAACUGAUCAGUGUAUGUAAAGAUGAAGCGCGUCUCCGCUUCUUCCCAUUGGACAAAUGGGGAGCAGAAAUAUCCCGGACAGUAGUGCUGCUAUCAUUCACUGAUGAUGUAAUUUGGAAUCUGAUCGUGUAUAGUUGAAAUUGGGUGAUGGAGCCACCAUAGGCCUCUAUGCUAACAUGGAGAGCGAGGGAUUUAUGACCUGUUACUUACAGUUUAACAGUGGUCUCUGUGCAGCAAUCAAAAGAUUUGAACAUUCUGGUGAAGAAUUUGCAGAUCCUGUUGAACAACUUCCUUUGGGACCUGACUUCACCAAAGCCUGUUUCUUCUUCAACUAUUUUAUUGCUUCUGGGCUAUCGCUGUAAUAAGGUUAGACUACGAAUUAUAGGAAUUAAUAAAAGGAAGGAAAAUAAAAGAUUAAAUAUGACUUAUUUACUAUAUAUAAGUAAUAAAGUC